Molecule: ribosomal RNA, 445 nt
Filed under: uncultured bacterium
Lineage: Bacteria
Description: bacterial SSU rRNA
Rfam family: Bacterial small subunit ribosomal RNA
Source: RNAcentral
GUGAGGAAUAUUGGUCAAUGGGCGAGAGCCUGAACCAGCCAAGUAGCGUGCAGGAAGACUGCCCUAUGGGUUGUAAACUGCUUUUAUAGGGGAAUAAAGUGAGGUAUGCAUACCUUUUUGUAUGUACCCUAUGAAUAAGGACCGGCUAAUUCCGUGCCAGCAGCCGCGGUAAUACGGAAGGUCCGGGCGUUAUCCGGAUUUAUUGGGUUUAAAGGGAGCGCAGGCGGGAGGAUAAGCGUGUUGUGAAAUGUACCGGCUCAACCGGUGAUGUGCAGCGCGAACUGUUUUCCUUGAGUGAGUACGACGUCAGCGGAAUUCGUGGUGUAGCGGUGAAAUGCUUAGAUAUCACGAAGAACCCCGAUUGCGAAGGCAGCUGACGAGUCCUUAACUGACGCUAAAGCUCGAAAGUGCGGGUAUCGAACAGGAUUAGAAACCCGAGUAGUCC